CGGGUGUAGUUUAGUGGUAAAACCUCAGCCUUCCAAGCUGAUGUUGUGGGUUCGAUUCCCAUCGCCC
This 67-nucleotide transfer RNA is filed under the name Phascolarctobacterium faecium. It matches the Rfam family "tRNA". From Rfam's summary of the family: Transfer RNA (tRNA) molecules are approximately 80 nucleotides in length. Lineage: Bacteria; Bacillati; Bacillota; Negativicutes; Acidaminococcales; Acidaminococcaceae. The record is from RNAcentral. RNAcentral also lists the same sequence under 3 other names.